AUCCAGCUGACGAGUCCAAAAUAGGACGAAACGUGCGUCCUGGUU
This 45-nucleotide non-coding RNA is filed under the name Schistosoma mansoni. Lineage: Eukaryota; Metazoa; Platyhelminthes; Trematoda; Strigeidida; Schistosomatidae. The record is from RNAcentral.